Molecule: ribosomal RNA, 357 nt
Filed under: uncultured Chloroflexota bacterium
Lineage: Bacteria; Bacillati; Chloroflexota
Description: bacterial SSU rRNA
Rfam family: Bacterial small subunit ribosomal RNA
Source: RNAcentral
CCUGUAUCCAGUCAGGAGCUUUCACAGGUGCUGCAUGGCUGUCGUCAGCUCGUGCCGUGAGGUGUUGGGUUAAGUCCCGCAACGAGCGCAACCCUCGUGCUAUGUUGAUUUCUCAUAGCAGACUGCCUUGUACAGCAAGGAGGAAGGUGGGGAUGACGUCAAGUCAGCAUGGCCUUUAUGCCCUGGGCUACACACACGCUACAAUGGGUGGGAACAGAGGGUUGCCACGAAGCAAUUCGGAGCGAAUCCCUUAAAACCAUCCUCAGUUCGGAUUGCAGGCUGCAAUCGCCUGCAUGAAGCCGGAGCUGCUAGUAACCGCAGGUCAGCUAUACUGCGGUGAAUACGUUCUCGGGCCUU